RNAcentral lists this ribosomal RNA (489 nucleotides) under Asteloeca ujhelyii. RNAcentral's name for it is "partial 16S ribosomal RNA". The stretch from base 364 to 489 matches the Rfam family "Bacterial large subunit ribosomal RNA", at positions 2473 to 2599 of the family's 2925-position model. Lineage: Eukaryota; Metazoa; Arthropoda; Insecta; Hymenoptera; Vespidae. The record is from RNAcentral.
AGUCAAUUUCUGCCCAUUGAAAAAAUUUAAAAGGCUGCGGUAUUUUAACUGUACAAAGGUAGCAAAAUAAAUAGUUUUUUAAUUGAAAACUUGAAUGAAAGAGUUAAUAAAAUAUAAAUUGUCUCAAAUUAAUAAAAAAUUAAUUUAAAUUAAAAGUAAAAAUACUUUUAUAUUUUUAUUAGACGAUAAGACCCUAAGAAUUUGAUUAUUUAUAUUUUUAUUUAAUUUUUAUAAUAAAUAGAUGAAAAUAUAAAUUAUUUUAUUGGGAGGGUAAAUAAAUUUUUAAACUUUAGUUUUAAUAAAAUAUUUUUAGAUAAAUUUUUAAUGAUUAUUAUUAAGAUUAUAAGAAUAAAUUACCUUAGGGAUAACAGCGUAAUAAUUUUGGAGAGUUCAUAUUGAUAAAAUUGUUUACGACCUCGAUGUUGAAUUAAAAUAAAAAUUAAAUGGAGAAAUUUAAAAUUUUAGUCUGUUCGACUAUUAAAAUUUUAC